This is a non-coding RNA of Schistosoma mattheei, 46 nucleotides long. NCBI's taxonomy places the organism in Eukaryota, Metazoa, Platyhelminthes, Trematoda, Strigeidida, Schistosomatidae. The record is from Rfam.
GCACUUCCGAUGAGUCCCACAAUAGGACGAAACGACCGUCCAGUGU